AACGAACGCUGGCGGCAUGCCUAACACAUGCAAGUCGAACGAGGCCGUCGGGUCUUGUGGCGCUCGGUUACGUAACGAGGGGGAACCUGCGCUUAGGUUCGGAAUCACUCCCCGAGAGGGGUGCUAAUACCGGAUUAUGUAUUAGGACAAAAGAUUUAUCGCCUAUGGAUGGGCCCGCGUUGGAUUCGAGAGUUGGUAGAGUAAAAGCCUACCAAGGCGACGAUCCAUAGCUGGUCUGAGAGGAUGACCAGCGACACUGGGACUGAGACACGGCCCAGACUCCUACGGAAGGCAGCAAGGGUGAAUAUUGGACGAUGGGCGAGAGCAUGAGCCAGCAAGGCCGCGUAAGUGAUUAGUGCCUGAGGGUUGUAAAGCUCUUUUACCCGCGAUGAUAAUGACAGUACCGUGAGAAUAAGCGCCGGCUAACUCCGUG
RNAcentral lists this ribosomal RNA (433 nucleotides) under uncultured bacterium. RNAcentral's name for it is "partial 16S ribosomal RNA". It matches the Rfam family "Bacterial small subunit ribosomal RNA", at positions 29 to 507 of the family's 1533-position model. The record is from RNAcentral.